CAAGAACCCAUAAUCGAUUAUAUUAUAUUUAUUAUAAAGAGAAUCGUUUUGAGUUCAGAUCUGUUUGGCUUUGGUCCAUAAUUUGAUUUUAUCUCCGAUUGUGAACCAGUGUGAUGGAAACCACAUAUGUCGCAUCCUGGGGAAGACUUCAAGAAGUAUUCAUAAAAGAAAAGAAAACUAUCUGCCGGGGAAAAAUGUGUGGAUUUCAGAUUCGACUGAAGAGGCUUUGCGUGUAUCAUCCAACUAUCAUGUGGAUCAAAGAUUUUUUAUGAGAUUAGUAGUUGUAAAAGCACCAAAGUGGCUUGGGGUUCGGUAGGGUUCUGAGUUCCGAGUUAAAAUUAAAGCCAAAACAAAUAUUGAGCAAGGCGCCGAACUUGGUGAAAUCCCUGUUUAGUGAUGAGGAACACAAAGAAAGUGCAGAAUGGACAAGAUUCCCGCAAUCAAGUUUUGCUGUUUAGGAUGUAUCAAAGCGAAAAAUUUUGGUGGAUCCAUCGGGUUCAUAUUUUUCUUGGAAAGUUUCUGCUAUGGGGAAGAAUAUGUUUCUAAUGCAAAGAAAUUCUUAAGAAGAGCUUUUAGCUCUUGAGUCAUGUGAGUGUCGGCAGGCUCUCUGUCUGUUUCCAUAAGAGAGGUCCGCCCCUCUGUGCUCUUGACUGGCGGCCAAUGUGAACUUCCAAAACAAACAAAAUAAUGUGUUGCAGCUUUUAACUCUUGAGUCAUGUGAGUGUCGGCAGCUCUCUGUCUGUUUCCAUAAGAGAGGUCAGCCCCUGCGCUCUUAACUGGCUGUCAAUGUGAACUUUCAAAACAAACACAGUAUGUACCAUGUUUACGCAAUUUUGUGACCCAAUGUCAUUUUCUCUUGAAUCAACCAUUCAAUUAAUAAAGCCUUUUUUUUAUUUUCAUUAAUCAAUCGUGAAAAAUUAUUAAUCAAGUAGCAUUUUAGUUUGUGGAUUAU
Long non-coding RNA from Glycine soja, 952 nucleotides. RefSeq lists it as uncharacterized. Lineage: Eukaryota; Viridiplantae; Streptophyta; Magnoliopsida; Fabales; Fabaceae. The transcript has 5 exons. The record is from RefSeq and is a predicted model, not a curated record.